Vigna umbellata (rice bean) is the source of this 828-nucleotide RNA transcript. It is a transcript of the gene named putative anion transporter 5, with no coding region annotated. NCBI's taxonomy places the organism in Eukaryota, Viridiplantae, Streptophyta, Magnoliopsida, Fabales, Fabaceae. The record is from RefSeq and is a predicted model, not a curated record.
ACACUAGUUUUCUCAUACAAUAUGAAACCCUAAAAUUAAUUUUGCCACCACUUUCUCCCUUUCUUAUACAGUCCGAAGUCCUAAUAUUUGUUCCCAUCCUUCUCCGUCUUUUUCCCCCAUUUCUGGAAUAAACUGAGUGGAAUUUGUGAUUACUGUCUGAUUACUGUCUCAAACCUCAGGAAAACUCCCAAACCCGUGUUGCAUUGGCGAGAGCCUUAACAGGUCUCAAAUUCAGUCGUUCGAAAUAAAGUUCGUCGUGAAACACGAAUCUUCAACUGGAAAUUUGAGAAGCUCAAACCCGCUGCUGAGGAGGUCGAGCACGUGGUGGCGCUGAUGCUUCUCCCGUGAAGGUCAAAGACAGUGUGAUUGUCCUAAAGGCUUAGCCCCAAGUUUCAAUAUUUUGCAAGUGGUUCUUACUUCAAUUAAGGAUUGAAGUUUAAAUGGGAAAGCAAGUCACCCGCAACAUUAAUGUCUCAAUCCGGGGAUUAUUUUGCAAGUGGUUCUUACUUCAAUUACCUUGUUCCCAUCCUUCUCCGUCUUUUUCCCCAUUUCUGGAAUAAACUGAGUGGAAUUUGUUGUCUCAAACCUCAGGAAAACUCCCAAACCCGUGUUGCAUUGGCGAGAGCCUUAAAUUCAGUAGUUCGAAAUAAAGUUCGUGCGUGAAACACGAAUCUUCAACUGGAAAUUUGAGAAGCUCAAAAGGAUUGCAGCGUCCAUGGCAUAUUUUAAAAGCCGUUAGAUUAAGCAAGAGCUUGGUAAUCAUUCUUCUUGCUCUUCUUCCCUCAGAUUUCGUCAUUUUUUUUUAUCUUGAAUCAAUUGUAUUUUGAC